RNAcentral lists this ribosomal RNA (158 nucleotides) under Calocera viscosa. RNAcentral describes it as "5.8S ribosomal RNA". It matches the Rfam family "5.8S ribosomal RNA". From Rfam's summary of the family: 5.8S ribosomal RNA (5.8S rRNA) is a component of the large subunit of the eukaryotic ribosome. It is transcribed by RNA polymerase I as part of the 45S precursor that also contains 18S and 28S rRNA. Functionally, it is thought that 5.8S rRNA may be involved in ribosome translocation. Lineage: Eukaryota; Fungi; Basidiomycota; Dacrymycetes; Dacrymycetales; Dacrymycetaceae. The record is from RNAcentral.
UAACUUUUAGCAACGGAUCUCUUGGCUCUCGCAUCGAUGAAGAACGCAGCGAAAUGCGAUAAGUAAUGUGAAUUGCAGAAUUCAGUGAAUCAUCGAAUCUUUGAACGCACCUUGCGCCCUUUGGGUUUACCCUGGGCAUGCUGGAUUGUGAGCGCCUU